Molecule: ribosomal RNA, 427 nt
Filed under: uncultured bacterium
Lineage: Bacteria
Description: partial 16S ribosomal RNA
Rfam family: Bacterial small subunit ribosomal RNA
Source: RNAcentral
GUGAGGAAUCUUCCACAAUGGGCGAAAGCCUGAUGGAGCAACGCCGCGUGAAGGAUGAAGGUCUUCGGAUUGUAAACUUCUUUUAUGAGUGAAGAAUAUGACGGUAACUCAUGAAUAGGCACCGGCUAACUACGUGCCAGCAGCCGCGGUCAUACGUAGGGUGCAAGCAUUAUCCGGAGUGACUGGGCGUAAAGAGUUGCGUAGGCGGUUAUGUAAGCGAAUAGUGAAACCUGGUGGCUCAACCACACAGACUAUUAUUCGAACUGCAUAACUCGAGAAUGGUAGAGGUAACUGGAAUUUCUUGUGUAGGAGUGAAAUCCGUAGAUAUAAGAAGGAACACCAAUGGCGUAGGCAGGUUACUGGGCCAUUUCUGACGCUAAGGCACGAAAGCGUGGGGAGCGAACCGGAUUAGAAACCCCGGUAGUCC